RNAcentral lists this unclassified non-coding RNA (240 nucleotides) under soil metagenome. RNAcentral describes it as "partial contains 5.8S ribosomal RNA, internal transcribed spacer 2, and large subunit ribosomal RNA". The record is from RNAcentral.
AACAUCGCGCACCUGCGGGAACCUGCGGAGGGAUCAUUACAGAGUUGCAAAACUCCCUAAACCAUUGUGAACGUUACCUAAACCGUUGCUUCGGCGGGCGGCGCGCCCUCGCGCGCGCCCCUGGGCCCCACCGCGGGCGCCCGCCGGAGGUCACCAAACUCUUGAUAUUAAUUGGCCUCUCUGAGUCUUCUGUACUGAAUAAGUCAAAACUUUCAGCAAUGGAUCUCAGAUCGGAAGAGC